GAGUGCGCCCUUCUCGGGUCCCCUAGGUCGCGGGGCAGCCGGGGCGGAAGGGGCUUGUUCAUUAUUUUGAGAGUUUGUUGUGAACGUCAUAACCUUUCGUCCUUAAAUAUUGCCGAUACUUGACCUACGCAAGAGACAAUGUCAUGUGAUUCAGCCUAAUAUCUCAGAGGAUGCAGCAUUCAAGGUUCUAUCUUGGAAGCAGAGACUGUGCCCUCACCAGAUGCUGAACCUGCUGAGCACCCUGAUCUUCCACUUCACCUUCAUCAGAACUGUUUUCGUAUCAGGAUGAUGCUGGCCUCAUACAAUGAGUUAGGGACGCGCAUGAAAUUUGGUGCCGUGACUCGGAUCGGCGGACCUCCCUUAGGAGAUCAAUCCCCUGUCCUCCUGCUCUUUGCUCCAUGAGAAAGAUCCACCUACGACCUAAGGUCCUCAGACCAACCAGCCCAAGAAACAUCUCACCAAUUUCAAAUCCGAAAUCCUUCAUCUAAUCUGGCAAACACAUGUGGCAGGUUUUUCUCACCGCAUAAAAUAUGUUAUAGAGUAGUCCAUCUAUUUCUCUUCCAUGGAAGAGUUCAUCUGGUAGAUUGGACUACCACUUUUCCUUGUCCCGAGUUCUCAUCCCGCAUCCAGGAAGAAUGAGGUUAUGUGGACACCUGGAGGGUGAGCGAGGCUGAGAAAAGCUUUAUUGGGCAACCAGACAGCUCUCAGAAGAGAGGUGACCUGAAGCAGCCAUAAUUUUAGCUUGUCUAAACUGCUUACCUGGUGUGAUGACCAAGAGCUUAAUCUCUGAAAGGAUGAGAGACGUUGAGCUCCAAACUCAGACUAAGAAACUAUAAGAAAUAUGCUUCAAUGAAGAAGCUGUUCAAAAAUGAGUAAGAUUGUUUCCUUGAGGCAAGAAAGAAAUGCAGAAGUCUUGACAAACAAAAGAAGAGAUUGCCUUAGGGAAGGGGACUACAGUGAACACUGAGAACUUCUUCCCACGCUAAGACAAUCUUUACAGAGCAAGACUCCGUCUCAAAAAAAAAAAAAAAAGUAAGCAUAAGAA
This 1045-nucleotide long non-coding RNA is filed under the name Homo sapiens (human). RNAcentral's name for it is "long intergenic non-protein coding RNA 882". Lineage: Eukaryota; Metazoa; Chordata; Mammalia; Primates; Hominidae. The record is from RNAcentral.